GGUCCACUUGUCCGCCCCCCACCACUGCCAUCUCCCUCGUUUCGCGCUCCGUCGUCGUCGUAUCCCCGCCCCAGCUCGGCCAUGGCUGGCACGAAGCCUUUGCCAACAGCGGUUGUAGCUCUCUCCGCCUGCAGUUGCAGCAUCUGGUGCGCCACACCCCCUCUGUACGCGCCGUCGGCGCUCGCCGCAGGGUGCACACUGCACGCACCAUCGUCUUCUUCUUCCCUGGGCAACCCAAUUCAACGUCUGGUCGUUGUAGCAAAACAGCUUGUCGUUUGUAGCUUUUCGUUCCCGGGUUGCAGCAAAAAUGGAGCGCCACUACGUCUCCCCGUACCAAUCCCUGACAUGUAGCAAAAAUAAUCACAGGUUCCAGCUGCUACAGAUGCUGCUUCCAGCAAUUCUUCUGCCGGUUGCAACUUUUGUGUUCUCGAUUCCAGCAAAAAUGACAGCAAUGGCGCAGUCCGCUCUCCACCCUAGUAACAAAUGUCCUGGCUGGUUCCAUCUAUUUGUGUUGCUGGUUCCAACUUUUUGCUCUGCCGGUUGUAGCACCGCACCCAUGUCUUGUCCACGCUGGCUUUUGGAUGUAGCACCGCCCCAUGUCGUUGAAGCUUCUGCGAGCGCUGGUUCCAGCUUUUUGUACCGUUGGUUCCAGCAUCGACAGCGACGGGCGGUUGCAGUUCGUCGGCCGCCGGUUGUAGCACGGCCCGGGCCGGUUGCAGCUCGCCCGCUGUUGGUUGUCACCGCUUGAUGCUGGGAUCCAGUUCGCUAGCAUCACAACAUCGCCGGGGUGCAGCAGGUCGCCACGCUGGUCCCAGCCCUCCUGCGGCUCGCCAUGGCCUCGCAACGGCGCUCUCACAACACAGGGGCGACGGCGGGCGCGAGUGUCUGCAGCAUCCUUCAAUCCUUACUCGCGGGGGACCUUCAAUCGAAUGGCGGCUUGUCUCCGGCACACCGCCGGCGACAGAUGAGCGGCGAGGGAGAGGCGCAUGGAUGGGAUGGGAUGAGUGACGGGGGAGAGGUGGAGAAAGAUCAAGAGAGAAAAAGAUAAAAGAAGUGAGAGGACGUAGGACCAGUGCACAGUGUGAUGCGCGAACGAGCGACCGGCCGAAGCUUCAGCCGGUGCGCCGUUUGCAAACGUUUUCCAUAAUACAAUGAGUUUAUAUGUACUUGGAAGUAGUGUCUUCUUUUUUCCUGAACGGUACAGUACACUGCAUGUACAACAACAGUGGCUGAGAGGGUUAUUUGCAUUGUUGGUCCUCGUGGAAUCAAUAGACCUCAGUUGUUUAUUUGUAUACUCUCUUGCUUUUUACAGUGUGGUAUUGGUUGCUAGACACAAAGGCAUACACAAAUCUUUGCUCGUGCCAUUAUUUAUUCAGGAAGCACCUAGCAGUGUAAUCUCAUGCAUCAAGUCGAAGGGGGUUGUUUGAGCCCGGCGUUAGCGUUAAAAAUCACCUCAUCUCCACUGGCGAACCCAGCAUCCUUCACAUCACUGAUGGUGUAUCAUUCUCCCGUGUCUCAACAUAGUCUGCCUUUUAGUUAUUCGAUGUCGAUGUUAUAUCAUUCAAACUCAAAGUUCAGCUUGCAAGCUCUUAUGUUUUUAUCUGACCUGUGUUUUGUUUCAAAUGCUUUGUCUUAAUUCAGACCUUUGAUUCUACGAUCAUAUUUUGGAGUUAGUCUUUGUUAGUUUUUAUUGUAAUACUGCUCGGAUGGUUGACAACUUUCUUUAUGGGCAUGAUAAAUGUUCUUUAAUCUUUUGUUGAGUGGUAAAUUAUUCUUCAUGUUUGUAAGAACAAAUUUAUAUAUUAUGUAUCCAUUGCAAUGCAUGGGUUCUUACCUACAUAUUAAAUCUACAUGCAAUUUAUGACAUGCUCGAUCACAGAAUUAAAGAUUUGGAUUAGUGUUUAUUCAAGGCAUUUUCAAGUAUUAUUCAUAUUAAGGCAUUGUUUUUAAAUCAAUUUAUUGGGUUAGGGACAUGAAAAUAUAUAUUUCUCUCGGAGCACAAUGUCAACCAUAUGAUAUCAUGGCACUCGGCAUAUGCGAGGAAUUGUACUCGGCAUAUACAAGUGCUAUACGGAAGGGGUGACGUGGUAAAUUGUUCUUCAGGUUUGUAAGAACAAAAUUAUGUAUUAUGUAUCCAUUGCAAUGCAUGGGCUCUUACCUACAGAUUAAAUCUACAUGCAAUUGAUGACAUGUUUGAUCACAAAAUUAAAUAUUUGGAUUACUGUUUAUUCAAUGCAUUUUCAAGUACAUAUUAAGGCAUUGUUUUAAAUCAAUUUAUUGGGUUAGGGACAUGAAAUUGUUUGUUUUUCUCUCCGAGCACAAUAUCAACCAUAUAAAAUCAUGGCCCAUGCUUAUAUUAUUAAGCUAGGGAGUUCAAUUUUUAUCUUCCGUUGCAAUACACGGGCAUGUGAGUUCAUCUAUAACUGCUUGAUUUUUUUUCGGUUCCUUCUUAUUGCAUAAUAAGUUGCUGAAUAAUUGUCUCUUCUUCUUUCAAUCUCCUUAGCUUACAUGCCAGAUCACAGCAAACCAAUACACGAUGGAACAUCCAGUGGAUAAGAAGGUGAUCAGUUGGUUCAUGUGGAGAACUCCUCACGUUCAGUUCCUCAAUACAGUUUCUACAGUGAUCCAGGGACCGUUGUGUCAGCGGACAGCAUGGGCCAGUGAUUCUCCAGGGGCUGGGGAUGCCUCUCACCUAUUCAUCUCCAUAGUCAUGCCCAAUACUCUAGCUGUCGGUCACCAGGCUCUUCAUCGACCUCGGUAUGACCCUAUGAACUACCAGCAUAGAUAACCUAUCUAACUUCCAGAUAACCUGUCCACGUGCUAUUAGUUAGUCUUCUCUAUAAUAUGCACGUGUGUCUUCUUUAAGGUUUUCGUUUUGUUGAAAUUUGGUCGUUCUAGGACAGGUUUGAUCCUGUUAACUAUUUAACAUAGACGAGCAAGCUUAUCUUACUUUUUUCGAAGAACAAAAUUAUUUUACUUAAUUACUUGGUUGAAUACCAACAUGUGCAGAUGUGUUUGAGCAGACUCAUGUACGUGUGUUCCUGGUCUGCAGGUGAAAGGUUUGAGUCAUUUGUUGCUUCUAGGAAAUAUUGUUUUCUAGAAGUGUACCGCGUAAUCUAAGUAAAUACCAGGCAUGUACAAGCCAUCGAAUCCAAAUGAAUACGUUAUAUGCUGACAUAUUGUAGUUUAUGAUGUAACGGUUUGGCAUAGGAGUUUCUCACUUUUGGUUUUAUGUUGUUGUGUUAACGGGUUUUGCACAAAAAUAAUGGCAUAGCUCUGAAUUUGGGUCACCGGGAUCAAAAUAUUCUGCUAUAAACAGUCUAAUCAGUUUCCUUUUGUGAGUAAGGUUCUUUGGUUAUCAUCAGUAGAAGCGGAGUUGGAUCGUUGACAGAUGUUAAAUGCUGGUCAAGGAUUGUUCUCUCUCAAUGAUGGUUGAUUGAUCUUGCGGUGGCAGUUCUAUCGGGCUUCACAUGACUGCUGCAUCUUACAGGUUUUGCUGCCUCGCUCUGCAGCCUUCAAUUUACCGUUGUAUGAAGGAUGAACCUAUGUCUCAUUUUUUGAGGGCAAACAUAUGUAUCAUUUCCUUGCUUUGUAUCAUAUUGCAGUAAUAAUUAUUGGAAAAAAUUAGUAUCUGCUAAAAUUAUUUAUCUCUGACAUGAAGCAAAAACUUUCUUGAAAUCCUUUGAAGACUACACAAAAUAGCUUCAGAGUGAUCAUAAUAAACAUGUACCUAUUGGAGAUCUUAUAUUAAGAAGUAGUCCUACUCGAUAUAUUCAGUGGUGUAUUUGCAAAA
Molecule: RNA transcript, 3793 nt
Organism: Triticum dicoccoides
Lineage: Eukaryota; Viridiplantae; Streptophyta; Magnoliopsida; Poales; Poaceae
Exons: 2
Source: RefSeq, a predicted model, not a curated record